AGCAGCCGCGGUAAUUCCAGCUCCAAUAGCGUAUAUUAAAGUUGUUGCAGUUAAAAAGCUCGUAGUUGAAUUUCGAGAUCAGUACGCUGGUCGUGCCUUCGGUAUGCACUGGUGUCACUGGUUUCUCCCUUCUGAAGAACCGUAAUGCCAUUCAGUUGGUGUGGCGGGGAAUCAGGAUUGUUACUUUGAAAAAAUUAGAGUGUUUAAAGCAGGCUCGCGCUUGAAUACAUUAGCAUGGAAUAAUGAAAUAGGACGUUUGAUCCUAUUUUGUUGGUUUCUAGGAUCGACGUAAUGAUUAAUAGGGAUAGUUGGGGGCAUUAGUAUUCAAUUGUCAGAGGUGAAAUUCUUGGAUUUAUUGAAGACUAACUACUGCGAAAGCAUUUGCCAAGGAUGUUUUCAUUAAUCAAGAACGAAAGUUAGGGGAUCGAAGACGAUCAGAUACCGUCGUAGUCUUAACCAUAAACUAUGCCGACUAGGGAUCGGAUGAUGUUAAUUUUUUAAUGACUCAUUCGGCGCCUUACG
Molecule: ribosomal RNA, 522 nt
Filed under: uncultured Glomeraceae
Lineage: Eukaryota; Fungi; Glomeromycota; Glomeromycetes; Glomerales; Glomeraceae
Description: SSU rRNA
Rfam family: Eukaryotic small subunit ribosomal RNA
Source: RNAcentral